Molecule: ribosomal RNA, 465 nt
Filed under: uncultured bacterium
Lineage: Bacteria
Description: partial 16S ribosomal RNA
Rfam family: Bacterial small subunit ribosomal RNA
Source: RNAcentral
CCUACGGGGCGCUACAGUGGGGAAUAUUGCGCAAUGGGCGAAAGCCUGACGCAGCGACGCCGCGUGAGGGAUGAAGGUCUUCGGAUCGUAAACCUCUGUCAGCAGGGAAGAACGGUCACUGUGCUAAUCAGCAGUGAAUUGACGGUACCUGCAAAGGAAGCACCGGCUAACUCCGUGCCAGCAGCCGCGGUAAUACGGAGGGUGCGAGCGUUAAUCGGAAUUACUGGGCGUAAGGCGCUCGUAGGCGGUAUGUCAAGUCAAGGGUGAAAGCCCCGGGCUCAACGUGGGAACUGCCUUUGAAACUGGCAAACUGGAGUGUGUGAGAGGAUAGUGGAAUUCCAGGUGUAGGAGUGAAAUCCGUAGAUAUCUGGAGGAACAUCAGUGGCGAAGGCGACUAUCUGGCACAUAACUGACGCUGAGGAGCGAAAGCGUGGGUAGCAAACAGGAUUAGAUACCCUUGUAGUC